UAACAUUAGAUGCAUAAUAGGAUUAGGUUCACCUCAAUAGUACUGCAGUAUUUAUUUACACCAGAUCCAGUUAUUCGUUGAUGAAAACAAAACUUUCUAAAACUCAAACUUUCUCAAAACUAUCUGUGUUUAUAUUUCCAGAACCAGGUCUUCCUCCAGCUGUUGUAGCAGGAAUAUGUGCUCUUAUUCUGCUUCUUGCUGCAGCAGCUUCUGUGAUUUACUAUUUAAAACCCCAAAAAAAUAAGAAAAGCCAUCAGACGGAGGACUGAGCACAGUGAUAACGGUUCACCCACCAGCACAAACACAGAAUCCAGUGAUGUGGAUGAAGGUCAAUCAUGAUGAAGACUCAUCCUCUACUCAUACUGAGGUGGACGCUAACAAUAGGAUGUCCAAUGACCAACUGAUGAACACCAGUGAGACGUCCCAUAAUCAGACUGAGGCAUACUGAUGAACACUAAACGUGGGACAUCCCUUAAUCAGACUGAGGCAUAUUGAUGAACAAUAAACAUGGGACAUCCCAUAAUCAGACUGAGGCAUAUUGAUGAACACUAAACGUGGGACAUCCCAUAAUCAGACUGAGGCAUAUUGAUGAACACUAAACGUGGGACAUCCCAUAAUCAGACUGAGACAUUGAUGAACUCUAAACGUGGGACAUCCCAUAAUCAGACUGAGACAUAUUGAUGAACACUAAACGUGGGACAUCCCAUAAUCAGACUGAGGCAUAUUGAUGAACACUAAACGUGGGACAUCCCAUAAUCAGACUGAGGCAUAUUGAUGAACACUAAACGUGGGACAUCCCAUAAUCAGACUGAGACAUUGAUGAACUCUAAACGUGGGACAUCCCAUAAUCAGACUGAGACAUAUUGAUGAACACCAAACAUGGGAAGUCCCAUAAUCAGUGUAAGGUUGUUACUUUUAGACUUUGAAGUUAAACAUGAGAACAUAAAGGGAACAUGAGAAGAGCACCAGCUGAAGCUUAGAGAAACACAGAUUAUAGUGGAAUUGUUUUCUUAAAGAUGCACUUUGAAACACUUUUUCAUGUCAAUUAAUGUCAAAAGGAUUUAGCAUUUUGUUAUUAUUUAAUUGACCCAGCAUUAACUUGUGUCUGUUGACUAUCUGCAUAUGCGUGUGAGAAUGAGUGUGAGUGUAAAACAGUGAGCAUGGCUGUUUGUGGUCCUGCUGACAUUUAGAGGUUUACGUUUAGCUGUUGAGACCAUGUAGAAUCGUCAUGAUGUUCUUAUGCUGGCUCCACACCAAACGCUGAGCUCUGCGUCACUUGCUCUUGUUCACUUACAAGAUGUUUUUUCUCUUUUUAGCUGAUUAAAUCUAAAAUAUUAUGUCAAGGUGCAAACAUUUAGACUUUUAAACACCACAAAUGACUGAAAACUUUGGUGGAUAUUCUGAUUCUUACUAUCUGUUGUCAUUUCCUCUAUUUUCUCCCAGCAUUAGUAUUUAUUUUCAGCUCUAGGUCUUUUAUUUUGCGCAAUAAUCUGUCAACUGAAAAAGUUUAAAGUCAUCCUGCUUUGCCUUUUUUUUGUGUAAUGUCAGCAAUAACAACAAUAAUAUUAAUCCAUAAAAAUGAUUAGAAUAAUCAAGCAACACAGUUAAUUUUGUUUCUAAUCAAAACUAAGAAUAAUAAAGAAUAUGGGUUGG
Molecule: long non-coding RNA, 1653 nt
Organism: Danio aesculapii
Lineage: Eukaryota; Metazoa; Chordata; Actinopteri; Cypriniformes; Danionidae
Exons: 3
Source: RefSeq, a predicted model, not a curated record